CAGGCUGUAUUAGCUAGCUACGUUUGCUCUUACUCAGUACAUUAUUUAGCUAGCUAUUAGCAUUAGCGGUUAACAAUUAACAUCUCGCAAGAUUUAGGGCAACUUGCUAAGAAAAGACAAACUAGCUGUGUUGAUGUAAGAAACAAACUUAUAGUGUCAUUGUAGAAUGCUAGUGUAUUUAUAUUAAGAAGCAGUGACAACUGCAGACUGAACGCAAGUCUCGUGGUUGAGGAACAUCAAAUGCACUCCUUGAGUGACGGGUGCGUAGCUAGGUCUGAGAAAAGCGGAGAGAUAUGACUCAAGUAGCGAAGUAAACUAUGAAAAAUUGACAUUACACAUGGCGUCUCACAUUUUAAAUAAACCAAACAUUCAAAUACCAGUAUUGAAGGUAGUUAAAAACCCAAACCGGUCCCUGCAUCAAUACCGGUAUAUCAUAAAAUGCGAUAUACCGUCCAGCCCUACAUGGAAAUAGAAUGGUUAUUCUAUGGUUAGAAUAUAAUAGGCUCUUUCAAUAGUGUUUGACAUGACGACAAAUGUAAAUGCCAGGGAGGAGGUAUUGUGACAGGGUAAGUGUUUCCUAGGGGACCCUAUAAUCUUUGGCUUCAUUGAAUGUUUUCUUUUAGCUACUUCACGUAGCUAACAUAUUCAUGCUUCUGGUAUUCCUCUUUUGAUUUAGAUACUUUUGCACAAACAUGCUGAUAUAGGUCUAUGCCAUCACUGUUAUUAUCAGGCUAUAUAGCCAAUUACAUUUGCGCUGACUCAGUAGCCAGCUAACUAGCGAUUAGCAUUAGUGACUAACACAAUUUAGUCCUAACUUGCUAAGAAAAGACAAGCUAGCUGUUUGCAGACGUAAGAGAAACGAAUAGUGUAAUUUUAUAGAACGCUUGUGAAAACUGCAUCGUUAUCAACAGUGCUGCAUUUGCCGUACAGACUGAACACAAAGUGUUGUGGUCAAAGAACAACAAAUGUGCCCCUUGAGUGACGGCAGGGCUAGGUCUAUGGGAAGUGGCAUAGAGGGAGUGGAGGUGGACGACUCGAGUAGCAAAGUGAACAAUAAAAAUGGACAUUACACAUGGCGUAUCACAUUUAACAGACCUAACAUUCAAAUACCGCUUAUAGAAGUUAAAGUAAAAACUCAUCGUUCCGUGCAUCAAUACUGGUAGAUUGUUAAAUACGGUAUACUGCCCAGCUCUGUGUAAACACAAACAUGCAUCCAUAACACUAUUAUAUUCCACAGCACUUAAGCUACAGUAGAGCCUCUUUGAACCGAUCUCUUCCACUUUGUAGCGUCGGGUCUAGUCCUUAUAAAGUGUAGGGCCAUUUCUGUUGUCUUGACUACACCUAGAUUUGAACAGCACAGCCUUUAAAGAGUACCCGACCUUUGAUCUUCUAGACUAGGCUGUAUCUGACCAGGACCGAGGCCAGCAACAAACAUUUAACAUGUCCCACCAUUUGUACUUCAGUUGUCUUUCACGCAAGGCUGGAUGCUGAUAGGUCAGUUCUGCUGUACUGUAGACUAGAGCACCUCACCAAAGAUGGAACCCUGGCUAAGCUUGGCCCCUUCAUGUUUUUCCUCUUGAAACUUGGCUCACGAUAUGAGAUUAAUGCAAGGUUGUGGCAUCAUGACUCACACAGUCAAGCAGGGUCUCUGGUUUUUACACGGACAAGUGGUGGGGCUGAAAGUCUAGUUCCCAGUUUAACUGAAAUGAUUUGUUAGUUUUACUGAAAUGCCUUGCCUUUUUAAAAGGCAGUAUGGCUAGGACCAGGAACAAGAUGUAUUUUCCUUAGGCGGAAGUUCGGGUGUCUUGGUAUUUGUUCUGCCACUGUAGGAUAACCGUUAUCUCUGGGAUCUAUUAAAUACAGACCUCUUGCCUGUCACGUUUUGUUGCUCCGCUGAGAUCUCAUUGAUGUGUGCCGGCAGCUGCUCUGUGCAAUUGUCUUGAAGUUAUACACCCCUGGAUACCACAACAUGUGCAGUUGCCAGUACCCACCCUUCUGGGAGGGAAAGAGGAAUAUGGACAGAGGGACUGAUUCAGUUAGUGACAGCACUGCAGCUGUAACCAGAGUAAGAAUCAAUGGGACGGAGUCAAGAGAAAGAGCGGAGAGGAAACGGGACUUUCAUGGAACAGUCCACAUGGAAUGGAAAGGAACAGGUCAGAAAAGUGUGAAACCAGUUGGAUGACCAAGUGGCCAUUUUUAAGCACAGGGAUAUCUGAAGUACAUCCAUCCACACUACGCCCUUCCUUUGUGCACUAAUAUACUUUGUCAUGAUAGUAAAACCUGAGAUCGCUAUCAUAUCUAGAGUUCAGUGUGGCUCAUGUCUAGCUCCCUCCAGUGUCUUCCUCUGUUCAGCUGAGUACUUCAAAGCACUCCUCUCUUAUCUGUUAAAGAAUGCAUCUUUUUUUUUUUUUUACGGCUGUCCUUUGGACCUUUUUUAAAGGAAUGCUUGCAUGGGGAAGCAUAUACUUGUUUGGGAUGUCACCACAUUAUCCUAUAGCCUAUAAUGGCCAACAGCUGUCUUCCCCCACCAAACCAUGGAUUCUGUUUGUUUUGUCUUUCUGCUGCUCUGACACUGAAGGUUAAGCUUAAAGGAAUGUCUUCAAUGCUUGGGAGUCAAAGAAUAGGCUAUGUCAUAACCAACCACAAAUUCAGAUUUUUCUCCCUGUGACGGCAAUAAAUGAAUUCAACACUGAA
Oncorhynchus nerka (sockeye salmon) is the source of this 2694-nucleotide long non-coding RNA. RefSeq lists it as uncharacterized. The record is from RefSeq and is a predicted model, not a curated record. Lineage: Eukaryota; Metazoa; Chordata; Actinopteri; Salmoniformes; Salmonidae. The transcript is spliced from 3 exons.